AUUGAACGCUGGCGGUAUGCCUUACACAUGCAAGUCGAACGGUAACAGGCUAACGGGUGCUGCUGAGUGGUGAACGGGUGAGUAAUGCAUAGGAACGUACCCAGAGCUGGGGGUUAACGCAGCGUAAGGUGUGCAAAUACCGCAUGUGACCUGAGGAUGCAUGCGGGGGAACGAGGAGCAACGUUUGGCCUUGCGCCUUUGGAGCGGCCGAUGUCGGAUUAGCUAGUUGGCGGGGUAAAGGCCCACCAAGGCGACGAUCCGUAGCUGGUCUGAGAGGACGACCAGCCACACUGGAACUGAGACACGGCCCAGACUCCUACGGGAGGCAGCAGUGGGGAAUAUUGGACAAUGGGCGCAAGCCUGAUCCAGCAAUGCCGCGUGCGGGAAGAAGGCCUUCGGGUUGUAAACCGCUUUUGGCGGGAAAGAAACGGAGUACGCUAAUACCGCGCUGUUAUGACGGUACCUACAGAAUAAGCACCGGCUAACUUCGUG
This 492-nucleotide ribosomal RNA is filed under the name uncultured bacterium. Its description in RNAcentral is "partial 16S ribosomal RNA". It matches the Rfam family "Bacterial small subunit ribosomal RNA", at positions 30 to 507 of the family's 1533-position model. The record is from RNAcentral.